Molecule: long non-coding RNA, 292 nt
Filed under: Callithrix jacchus (white-tufted-ear marmoset)
Lineage: Eukaryota; Metazoa; Chordata; Mammalia; Primates; Cebidae
Description: lncRNA (ENSCJAG00000086009.1)
Source: RNAcentral
AAUGGUUUCUGUUUGAAGCCCUCCCCACUCGCUUGGCCAGCACCUCUGUGAGUCAUGACACAUACUGGCAAGGUUGGAUGUGACGUUAGAAUUGACAGAAGCUGAGAGGUCUACAGGGGACUGAACAUGUGGCUCUUACUGAGCUGCUGAGUUGUGGACUCUGAAAAGUGGUGUGCACAUAAAAGAGCCAGAGCUGAGUCAAAUCACCUAUAAAACCAUCCACCUGAAGGAUCAGUCAGAAAGGAGCAAAGGAUAAAUGACCUCUGGUAGUUACAUGUAAUUACUGCAUCCU